AUUUGUCUGGCGGCAGNCGCACCCUUGGUAAGGGUGAGGUCCCCAGUUCGACUCUGGGUAUCAGCACCA
Molecule: transfer RNA, 69 nt
Filed under: Salmonella enterica subsp. enterica serovar Weltevreden
Lineage: Bacteria; Pseudomonadati; Pseudomonadota; Gammaproteobacteria; Enterobacterales; Enterobacteriaceae
Description: tRNA-Thr
Source: RNAcentral